UACGUAGGGUGCGAGCGUUAAUCGGAAUUACUGGGCGUAAAGCGUGCGCAGGCGGUUGUGCAAGACAGAUGUGAAAUCUCCGGGCUCAACCUGGGAAUGGCAUUUGUGACUGCACGGCUAGAGUGUGUCAGAGGGGGGUAGAAUUCCACGUGUAGCAGUGAAAUGCGUAGAGAUUUGGAGGAAUACCGGUGGCGAAGGCGACCCCCUGGGAUAAAACUGACGCUCAGGCACGAAAGCGUGGGUAGCAAACAGG
Molecule: ribosomal RNA, 253 nt
Filed under: uncultured bacterium
Lineage: Bacteria
Description: partial 16S ribosomal RNA
Rfam family: Bacterial small subunit ribosomal RNA
Source: RNAcentral